This 344-nucleotide unclassified non-coding RNA is filed under the name soil metagenome. RNAcentral describes it as "partial contains 5.8S ribosomal RNA, internal transcribed spacer 2, and large subunit ribosomal RNA". The stretch from base 2 to 119 matches the Rfam family "5.8S ribosomal RNA", at positions 37 to 154 of the family's 154-position model. The record is from RNAcentral.
GUGAAGAACGUAGCGAAAUGCGAUAAGUAAUGUGAAUUGCAGAAUUCAGUGAAUCAUCGAAUCUUUGAACGCACAUUGCGCCCCCUGGUAUUCCGGGGGGCAUGCCUGUCCGAGCGUCAUUGCUGCCCUCAAGCACGGCUUGUGUGUUGGGCCUCCGUCCUCCUCCCGGGGGACGGGCCCGAAAGGCAGCGGCGGCACCGCGUCCGGUCCUCGAGCGUAUGGGGCUUCGUCACCCGCUCUUGUAGGCCCGGCCGGCGCUUGCCGACACAUCAAUCUUUUUUCCAGGUUGACCUCGGAUCAGGUAGGGAUACCCGCUGAACUUAAGCAUAUCAAUAAGCGGAGGA